GUGCACUGUCUUUGAACCUGGUUGACCCUUUCUGUGGUCUCUCAGGCCAAGUUACAGCUGCUACAGCAACCUGUUUAUAACUGGGGCCUCUUGGCUAAACCACCAGGUGGCUCUUUUAAGAACAGCUCCCACCU
Molecule: small nucleolar RNA, 134 nt
Filed under: Hucho hucho (huchen)
Lineage: Eukaryota; Metazoa; Chordata; Actinopteri; Salmoniformes; Salmonidae
Source: RNAcentral